Arabidopsis thaliana (thale cress) is the source of this 297-nucleotide long non-coding RNA. RefSeq annotates it as other RNA. The record is from RefSeq. The transcript has a single exon. Lineage: Eukaryota; Viridiplantae; Streptophyta; Magnoliopsida; Brassicales; Brassicaceae.
AUUUCUUCAUCAUCUUUUUCUUCGACAACUCACAAACAUCUCUACCACCAACACCCAUGUUCCGAUUAAUCCAAUAAACUCAAUUAAAUACUUGUUUAUGGAAAAAAACUAAACCCUAAAUGGAUACUAUAUAGUGAACCCAAGGGAUCCAAUCCAAAACCAUAAUCAAAUCUAGUAAAAUUUCAAUAGUUUUCUUUCUUCCGUUUGUAAAAUAAAGUAAGAGAUGAUCAAAUUGUGAUUCAUAUUGACAUAUUAAAAUUCAAAGAAGGUAUGGAUGAUAACCCUCUGCUUCGUCGA